AACGAUGAUGCCCGCUGUUGCGAUACACAGUCAGCGCCAAGCGAAAGCGUUAAGCAUCCCACCUGGGGAGUACGCCGGCAACGGUGAACUCAAAGGAAUUGACGGGGGCCCGCACAAGCGGAGGAACAUGUGGUUUAUUCGAUGAUACGCGAGGAACCUUACCCGGGCUUGAACUGCCAGCGAACGAUUCAGAGAUGAUGAGGCCCUUCGGGGCGCUGGUGGAGGUGCUGCAUGGUUGUCGUCAGCUCGUGCCGUGAGGUGUCGGCUUAAGUGCCAUAACGAGCGCAACCCCUUUCUCCAGUUGCCAUCAGGUCAUGCUGGGCACUCUGGAGACACUGCCACCGUAAGGUGUGAGGAAGGUGGGGAUGACGUCAAAUCAGCACGGCCCUUACGUCCGGGGCUACACACGUGUUACAAUGGGGAGUACAGAGAGUCAAGUGCCGGCAACGUCACUUUAAUCAAUAAAACUCUCCUCAGUUCGGAUUGGGGUCUGCAACCCGACCCCAUGAAGCUGGAUUCGCUAGUAAUCGCGCAUCAGCCAUGGCGCGGUGAAUACGUUCCCGGGCCUUGUACACACCGCCCGUCAAGCCAUGAAAGCCGGGGGCGCCUGAAGUCUGUGACCGCGAGGGGCGGCCUAAGGUGAAACUGGUGAUUGGGGCU
RNAcentral lists this ribosomal RNA (660 nucleotides) under uncultured rumen bacterium. RNAcentral's name for it is "bacterial SSU rRNA". It matches the Rfam family "Bacterial small subunit ribosomal RNA", at positions 805 to 1482 of the family's 1533-position model. The record is from RNAcentral.